This 406-nucleotide ribosomal RNA is filed under the name uncultured bacterium. RNAcentral describes it as "partial 16S ribosomal RNA". It matches the Rfam family "Bacterial small subunit ribosomal RNA", at positions 29 to 526 of the family's 1533-position model. The record is from RNAcentral.
AUUGAACGCUGGCGGCAGGCCUAACACAUGCAAGUCGAACGAGUGGCGGACGGGUGAGUAAUGUCUGGGAAACUGCCUGAGGGAGGGGGAUAACAACUGGAAACGGUAUCUAAUACCGCAUACCAUCGGAUGUGCACAGUUGGGAUUAGCUAGUUGGGGGGGUAACGGCUGACCAAGGCGACGAUCCCUAGCUGGUCUGAGAGACUGACCAGCCACACUGGGACGGAGACACGGCCCAAACUCCUACGGGAGGCAGCAGUAGGGAAUAUUGCACAAUGGGCGAAAGCCUGAUGCAGCCAUGCCGCGUGAGUGAAGAAGGCCUUCGGGUUGUAAAGUACUUUCGGCGGGGAGGCGUUACCCACAGAGAAAGCACCGGCUAACUCCGUGCCAGCAGCCGCGGUAAUAC